RNAcentral lists this ribosomal RNA (489 nucleotides) under uncultured bacterium. RNAcentral describes it as "bacterial SSU rRNA". It matches the Rfam family "Bacterial small subunit ribosomal RNA", at positions 1040 to 1529 of the family's 1533-position model. The record is from RNAcentral.
GCUGCAUGGCUGUCGUCAGCUCGUGUUGUGAAAUGUUGGGUUAAGUCCCGCAACGAGCGCAACCCUUAUCCUUUGUUGCCAGCGGUCCGGCCGGGAACUCAAAGGAGACUGCCAGUGGUAAACUGGAGGAAGGUGGGGAUGACGUCAAGUCAUCAUGGCCCUUACGACCAGGGCUACACACGUGCUACAAUGGCGCAUACAAAGAGAAGCGACCUCGCGAGAGCAAGCGGACCUCAUAAAGUGCGUCGUAGUCCGGAUUGGAGUCUGCAACUCGACUCCAUGAAGUCGGAAUCGCUAGUAAUCGUGGAUCAGAAUGCCACGGUGAAUACGUUCCCGGGCCUUGUACACACCGCCCGUCACACCAUGGGAGUGGGUUGCAAAAGAAGUAGGUAGCUUAACCUUCGGGAGGGCGCUUACCACUUUGUGAUUCAUGACUGGGGUGAAGUCGUAACAAGGUAACCGUAGGGGAACCUGCGGCUGGAUCACCUC